UAUUGAAUGCGUUUGUUUUUACAUAUAUUUUAUGUAGUCAGUACAGUGCGAAUUAUGCAUGGGAUUCCAAAGUGGGAUAGUUUGGACGUUCAAGGGAAAAUAGAAACUUCAAAAAUUGUUGAUACGUAUCUACAGUGUGCCAGGUAUUGUCAACAGUCUGAUGUUUGCGAUGGUAUCUUCUUUAACAACACCACAGGAUAUUGUGCGAUUGUUGAAAAUAAUGAUGGAAAUGUCAUAAAGGAUAUCAUUUUAGGAGAAUUUUUUUACCGAAAGAAAAAUUGCCUUCAUUAUGGGUAGGAAAAUAUAUGGCAGUUGAAUACUUGCAUUAUGUUUUAUACUACAAAACUAACGUGGAAUGAUUCACAGCAAAGAUGCGUUGAAGACAAUGGAAAUCUAUUAUCUGUUGAAACUGCAAGAAAAGACUAUUUCUUUUUCCCAUUUUUAAUUGACAAAUAUGAAAAAACUGGAAUGGUGUUAUGGUGGAUAGGUGGGACGGAUGCAUCACAGGAAGGAAUCUUCCGUUGGAUAAAAAAUGGUGAAAAUGUUACAUACAGUAACUGGGACAUAGAUCAACCCGAUGAUGGAUCUGACGGUAUACCAGGGGCAGACUGUAUGAGAUACAUCAUUAAAUCAAAGACUAAAGCAACAUGGUGGGAUCGUGACUGUAACAAUGAAUUUGCGUUCAUUUGUGAAAACAAAAUGUUUUCGUUAUUAUAGAUGAGAGGUGAAACUGUUAUUUUAUCCAAUCAUCGAGUUAUAUUGAUGACUCAUAUGUACUUUUA
Long non-coding RNA from Mytilus californianus (California mussel), 782 nucleotides. RefSeq lists it as uncharacterized. Lineage: Eukaryota; Metazoa; Mollusca; Bivalvia; Mytilida; Mytilidae. The transcript has 3 exons. The record is from RefSeq and is a predicted model, not a curated record.